Molecule: ribosomal RNA, 489 nt
Filed under: uncultured bacterium
Lineage: Bacteria
Description: partial 16S ribosomal RNA
Rfam family: Bacterial small subunit ribosomal RNA
Source: RNAcentral
AGUGAACGCUGGCGGCAGGCCUAAUACAUGCAAGUCGAACGGCAGCACAGUGGAGCUUGCUCCAUGGGUGGCGAGUGGCGGACGGGUGAGGAAUACAUGGGAAUCUGCCCAGUCGUGGGGGAUAACGUAGGGAAACUUACGCUAAUACCGCAUGCGCCCUUCGGGGGAAAGCCGGGGACCUUCGGGCCUGGCGCGAUUGGAUGAGCCCAUGUUCGAUAGCUAGUUGGCGGGGUAAAGGCCCACCAAGGCGACGAUCGAUAGCUGGUCUGAGAGGAUGAUCAGCCACACUGGGACUGAGACACGGCCCAGACUCCUACGGGAGGCAGCAGUAGGGAAUAUUGGACAAUGGGCGCAAGCCUGAUCCAGCCAUGCCGCGUGAGUGAAGAAGGCCCUCGGGUUGUAAAGCUCUUUUGUCCGGGAAGAAAAGCAUCGGGCUAAUACCUCGGUGUUCUGACGGUACCGGAAGAAUAAGCACCGGCUAACUUCGUG